Molecule: ribosomal RNA, 512 nt
Filed under: uncultured bacterium
Lineage: Bacteria
Description: partial 16S ribosomal RNA
Rfam family: Bacterial small subunit ribosomal RNA
Source: RNAcentral
GACGAACGCUGGCGGCGUGCCUAAUACAUGCAAGUCGAGCGAGCGGAACUAACAGAUUUACCUCGGUAAUGACGUUAGGAAAGCGAGCGGCGGAUGGGUGAGUAACACGUGGGGAACCUGCCCCAUAGUCUGGGAUACCACUUGGAAACAGGUGCUAAUACCGGAUAAGAAAGCAGAUCGCAUGAUCAGCUUUUAAAAGGCGGCGUAAGCUGUCGCUAUGGGAUGGCCCCGCGGUGCAUUAGCUAGUUGGUAAGGUAAAGGCUUACCAAGGCGAUGAUGCAUAGCCGAGUUGAGAGACUGAUCGGCCACAUUGGGACUGAGACACGGCCCAAACUCCUACGGGAGGCAGCAGUAGGGAAUCUUCCACAAUGGACGCAAGUCUGAUGGAGCAACGCCGCGUGAGUGAAGAAGGUUUUCGGAUCGUAAAGCUCUGUUGUUGGAGAAGAAGGAUAGAGGUAGUAACUGGCCUUUAUUUGACGGUAAUCAACCAGAAAGUCACGGCUAACUACGUG